Hyla sarda is the source of this 819-nucleotide long non-coding RNA. RefSeq lists it as uncharacterized. The record is from RefSeq and is a predicted model, not a curated record. NCBI's taxonomy places the organism in Eukaryota, Metazoa, Chordata, Amphibia, Anura, Hylidae. The transcript is spliced from 4 exons.
CGGCACCGUAGCCCCGAACGAACGUCCCCCUGUGUUUUGUCCACCCGUGUCUUGCACUGUUUAUACCCUUCAUGGAUUAAUAAAGAAGCUUGAAGUUUACGUAUUUGUGCAAGAUGUCAAGAACCGUUGGCGGUCAACCAAAUAUCAUUUUCACAAAUAUAUGAAUGAUGUUGGCAAAAGUGGGUCUGCUGCGCCUCCAAAAAAAAGUUGCACAUUUUGAGUAACUACAAUUUCUUCUAACCAGCUGCGUGGUUCGCAAUUCUAGUGGCAACAUUGCAAAUCCUCAUACGUUGGAACCAGACAACGACAGCCAACAAUCAUCAGGGUCCACACAAGAUCAAGAAAGAAGUCUAGAAGAUGUUGCUGGCCCAUUUGAUCCAAAUGUCGACUUGGCAAGCAGACGAGCGGCAAAUGAUGGAUACCAUACUAAUGCUGGUAGCAGUCGCAGAGGUGGCCGUUCAGGCGGUCGGGGUAGGGGACGACCAAUCACAGUAGAAACUGAGGCAAUAGCAAUGCUUCAAAGGUUAGAUGCGGAGGAGCAUUGGGACCAUAUCACAUAUACAAUGGCUGAAAGGCUGCGCAAAAGCCCUGAAGGAAGACAAUGGUCAUGUGUUCCUGCAUUUUUUCAAAUUAUGGCUUUAUAUGCCUUCCCCUGAUCCUAUUCCAGAUAAUGUUGAGGAAUCGUCACCAAUAUUUUUAUACACCCACAGGUGUGCGUGUAGUAGGAGUCAUUUUGUACCCUCCACUCGGAUGUCUAUUAUUUUUAAUUGAUUUUAAAUGUCUUUGUUUUCUCUGUGCAUCUAAUAAAAUGUGUUGAUA